Molecule: ribosomal RNA, 254 nt
Filed under: uncultured bacterium
Lineage: Bacteria
Description: partial 16S ribosomal RNA
Rfam family: Bacterial small subunit ribosomal RNA
Source: RNAcentral
GCAAGUCGAGCGGUAACAGAGAGUAGCUUGCUACUUUGCUGACGAGCGGCGGACGGGUGAGUAAUGCUUGGGAACAUGCCUUGAGGUGGGGGACAACAGUUGGAAACGACUGCUAAUACCGCAUAACGUCUACGGACCAAAGGUGGGGAUGCUUCGGCACCACUCGCUCAUUGAUGAGCCCGAGUGAGAUUAGCUAGUUGGUAAGGUAAUGGCUUACCAAGGCGACGAUCUCUAGCUGGUUUGAGAGGAUGAUC